AUUGAACGCUGGCGGCAUGCUUUACACAUGCAAGUCGAACGGCAGCACGAAAGAGCUUGCUCUUUUGGUGGCGAGUGGCGAACGGGUGAGUAAUGCAUCGGAACGUACCGAGUAAUGGGGGAUAACUAUCCGAAAGGAUAGCUAAUACCGCAUACGCUUUGAGAAGGAAAGUGGGGGCUCUUCGGACCUCACGUUAUUCGAGCGGCCGAUGUCUGAUUAGCUAGUUGGUGGGGUAAAGGCCUACCAAGGCGACGAUCAGUAGCGGGUCUGAGAGGAUGAUCCGCCACACUGGGACUGAGACACGGCCCAGACUCCUACGGGAGGCAGCAGUGGGGAAUUUUGGACAAUGGGCGCAAGCCUGAUCCAGCCAUGCCGCGUGUCUGAAGAAGGCCUUCGGGUUGUAAAGGACUUUUGUUAGGGAAGAAAAGGAUAGUGUUAAUACCAUUAUCUGCUGACGGUACCUAAAGAAUAAGCACCGGCUAACUACGUGCCAGCAGCCGCGGUAAUACGUAGGGUGCGAGCGUUAAUCGGAAUUACUGGGCGUAAAGCGAGCGCAGACGGUUUAUUAAGCAAGAUGUGAAAUCCCCGAGCUUAACUUGGGAACUGCGUUUUGAACUGGUAAGCUAGAGUAUGUCAGAGGGGGGUAGAAUUCCACGUGUAGCAGUGAAAUGCGUAGAGAUGUGGAGGAAUACCGAUGGCGAAGGCAGCCCCCUGGGAUAAUACUGACGUUCAUGCUCGAAAGCGUGGGUAGCAAACAGG
RNAcentral lists this ribosomal RNA (759 nucleotides) under uncultured Kingella sp. RNAcentral describes it as "bacterial SSU rRNA". It matches the Rfam family "Bacterial small subunit ribosomal RNA", at positions 28 to 776 of the family's 1533-position model. The record is from RNAcentral. Lineage: Bacteria; Pseudomonadati; Pseudomonadota; Betaproteobacteria; Neisseriales; Neisseriaceae.